GCAGAGCUUGCUGCACGCUUCAGAACUGCUUAUUGAAUCUGCAGGAAGCCUGAAUUCAUCUGAGGAGAGACCUGCACCGUAACUGGAAAUUAAAGAUAUUUCUCCCUACCUCACAGGCAUCUCCAGAUCCAACCAAGUGGGAUGGUGUUGGUCUUCCUGGCAUUUCAUCAGCAACCUGAGAGAGAAGACUUGUGCCUUCACACUCUUUUAUGCACCACCUGGUUCUGCCCUUUUGGACCUCUCCAGAUAGCUUCUGUGGGGACCAGAGGCAAGACAGGAAUCAAAAGCUCCAUGAGGAAUCCAGAGCUACUGCAUGGAUGUCCACCUUGGUGAAAUCUGACCAGGGCAAGUCUUCAGUAUGCCUUUUGGAGGAGUUUCCCAGGAAUGCCUAUGGGCAAGUGUGGAGAGGU
Long non-coding RNA from Oxyura jamaicensis (ruddy duck), 410 nucleotides. RefSeq lists it as uncharacterized. The transcript is spliced from 4 exons. The record is from RefSeq and is a predicted model, not a curated record. Lineage: Eukaryota; Metazoa; Chordata; Aves; Anseriformes; Anatidae.